This 75-nucleotide transfer RNA is filed under the name Megalops atlanticus (tarpon). RNAcentral's name for it is "tRNA-Val". It matches the Rfam family "tRNA". From Rfam's summary of the family: Transfer RNA (tRNA) molecules are approximately 80 nucleotides in length. Their secondary structure includes four short double-helical elements and three loops (D, anti-codon, and T loops). The record is from RNAcentral. Lineage: Eukaryota; Metazoa; Chordata; Actinopteri; Elopiformes; Megalopidae.
GUGUUCCUAUGGCUCAAUCGGUUGAGCAUGGCAAUAACGACGCCAAAGUUGUGGGUUUGAUUCCCAGGGAACACA